AAAAAUUUCUGUCUUCGUUGAUUCACAUUUCAUAAUACUUUUAUUGUAUUGAUAACUAAUAUAAAAAGAGUUAUUUUAGUAAAAUAUUAAAUAAAUAUUUUAUUACGAACAUAUUAAUCCAUUUAUAUAAACGACAUAAAAUAAAAUAUAUACCUAAAGAAAGAUGAUGGAAGAGGAAAAAGGCAUUGUAAUGGGAAUAGUGUUGAAACAUACAAAAUGAAAAAGGAGAUUGAGGAGUUGAUUAAUCAUGAUUGAGGAGUUGGCUAAUGUAUGAAAAGCUUAAAUUUGGGAGAAUCAUCUUUGUGGGAAGGGGGUGGAUGAAAUUGAAAGCCAAGAUUGUGGUAUGUGGUGGUGGAGUACAGUAGCCGAUGGAAGCUGCAUUGUCAAGCAAAGCAAUCCACAAAUAUUUUCUUCACCCAAAAGUCCCUCUUCCUCACUCACCAUUCAAACUUGCCAUUGCUCUUCCCCACCACUAACUAUUCUCUCAAACCCAAAUCUGAAACACAACAAAACUCAAUGGCAAACC
RNAcentral lists this long non-coding RNA (526 nucleotides) under Linum usitatissimum (flax). Its description in RNAcentral is "long non-coding RNA (LUSI_LNC006331)". Lineage: Eukaryota; Viridiplantae; Streptophyta; Magnoliopsida; Malpighiales; Linaceae. The record is from RNAcentral.